UAAAUGACGAAGAACAGAAGAGUAAGUUUGAACCUUGUUCAGAAAGUGAUCGCUGCUGAGAUGGUCACCAAGGUAUUAACUGAAGCACAUCUGUGAGUCGUCUAGCUGAAUGUUCAGGAGAACUGUAAGUUAGACCGGCGUGGGCCGUUAUCCCAAGGAGUUAAUUAAUAACUCGCCGAGUCAAUCACUGUGAGGUGGUUGAAUGCUUGAGGUGGUACCGCGUCAACACGCCCUCUUUGAUUUUUUAAUCAAAGAGGGCGUGUUUUUUUAUUAAUUAACUCCGUGAGUUUGCCGUUGUGAAGCGGCAAUAAAAAGGGGUGGCACCGCGUUGACCAACGUCCUCUAG
Molecule: non-coding RNA, 346 nt
Filed under: Furfurilactobacillus siliginis
Lineage: Bacteria; Bacillati; Bacillota; Bacilli; Lactobacillales; Lactobacillaceae
Description: Lactobacillus siliginis T-box sequence
Rfam family: T-box leader (bases 1-238)
About the family: Uncharged tRNA acts as the effector for transcription antitermination of genes in the T-box leader family. T-boxes are found upstream of many aminoacyl-tRNA synthetase genes and some amino acid biosynthetic genes usually in Gram-positive bacteria. The anticodon of a specific tRNA base pairs to a specifier sequence within the T-box motif, and the NCCA acceptor tail of the tRNA base pairs to a conserved bulge in the T-box antiterminator hairpin.
Source: RNAcentral